RNAcentral lists this ribosomal RNA (253 nucleotides) under uncultured bacterium. Its description in RNAcentral is "partial 16S ribosomal RNA". It matches the Rfam family "Bacterial small subunit ribosomal RNA", at positions 524 to 776 of the family's 1533-position model. The record is from RNAcentral.
UACGUAGGGAGCAAGCGUUGUCCGGAAUCAUUGGGCGUAAAGCGCGCGUAGGUGGCCAUGUAAGUCCGCUGUGAAAGUCAAAGGCUCAACCUUUGAAAGCCGGUGGAUACUGCAUGGCUAGAGUACGGAAGAGGCGAGUGGAAUUCCUGGUGUAGCGGUGGAAUGCGCAGAUAUCAGGAGGAACACCAAUAGCGAAGGCAGCUCGCUGGGACGUCACUGACACUGAGGCGCGAAAGCGUGGGGAGCAAACAGG